RNAcentral lists this ribosomal RNA (440 nucleotides) under uncultured bacterium. Its description in RNAcentral is "partial 16S ribosomal RNA". It matches the Rfam family "Bacterial small subunit ribosomal RNA", at positions 338 to 795 of the family's 1533-position model. The record is from RNAcentral.
CCUACGGGUGGCAGCAGUGGGGAAUAUUGCACAAUGGGGGAAACCCUGAUGCAGCGACGCCGCGUGAGUGAAGAAGGAAUUCGUUAUGUAAAGCUCUAUCAGCAGGGAAGAAAAUGACGGUACCUGAGUAAGAAGCCGUGGCUAACUACGUGCCAGCAGCCGUGGUACUACGGAGGGGGCCAGCGUAAUCCGGAUUUACCGGGUGUAAAGGGAGCGUAGACGGCAGUGCAAGUCUGGAGUGAAAGGCGGGGGUUCAACCCCCGGACUGCUCUGGAAACUGUACGGCUGGAGUGCAGGAGAGGUAAGUGGAAUUCCUAGUGUAGCGGUGAAAUGCGUAGAUAUUGGGAAGAACACCAGUGGCGAAGGCGGCUUACUGGACUGUAACUGACGUUGAGGCUCGAAAGCGUGGGGAGCGAACAGGAUUAGAUACCCCUGUAGUC